UAGCCUACGGGACGCCGCAGUAGGGCUUCUUCCGGUUUUGGCGAAAGCCUGAUGGAGCAACGCCGCGUGGGUGAAGAAGGUCUUCGGAUCGUAAAACCCUGUUGUUAGAGAAGAAAGUGCGUGAGAGUAACUGUUCACGUUUCGACGGUAUCUAACCAAAAAGCCACGGCUAACUACGUGCCAGCAGCCGCGGUAAUACGUAGGUGGCAAGCGUUAUCCGGAUUUAUUGGGCGUAAAGGGAACGCAGGCGGUCUUUUAAGUCUGAUGUGAAAGCCUUCGGCUUAACCGGAGUA
Molecule: ribosomal RNA, 293 nt
Filed under: uncultured bacterium
Lineage: Bacteria
Description: partial 16S ribosomal RNA
Rfam family: Bacterial small subunit ribosomal RNA
Source: RNAcentral